This 690-nucleotide ribosomal RNA is filed under the name uncultured fecal bacterium CF157. Its description in RNAcentral is "bacterial SSU rRNA". It matches the Rfam family "Bacterial small subunit ribosomal RNA", at positions 32 to 715 of the family's 1533-position model. The record is from RNAcentral. Lineage: Bacteria; Pseudomonadati; Bacteroidota; Bacteroidia; Bacteroidales; Bacteroidaceae.
AACGCUAGCUACAGGCUUAACACAUGCAAGUCGAGGGGCAGCACAGUGUAGCAAUACAUGGGUGGCGACCGGCGCACGGGUGCGUAACGCGUAUCCAACCUUCCCGAUACUCUUGGAUAGCCUUCCGAAAGGGAGAUUAAUACAAGAUGGUGUUUCACUUUCGCAUGUUAUUGAAACUAAAGAUUUAUCGGUAACGGAUGGGGAUGCGUGACAUUAGGUAGAUGGCGGGGUAACGGCCCACCAUGCCCACGAUGUCUAGGGGUUCUGAGAGGAAGGUCCCCCACACUGGAACUGAGACACGGUCCAGACUCCUACGGGAGGCAGCAGUGAGGAAUAUUGGUCAAUGGUCGGAAGACUGAACCAGCCAAGUAGCGUGAAGGAUGAAGGUUCUAUGGAUUGUAAACUUCUUUUAUACGGGAAUAAAACGUCCCACGUGUGGGAUCUUGUAUGUACCGUAUGAAUAAGCAUCGGCUAACUCCGUGCCAGCAGCCGCGGUAAUACGGAGGAUGCGAGCGUUAUCCGGAUUUAUUGGGUUUAAAGGGAGCGUAGACGGGAGAUUAAGUCAGUUGUGAAAGGCUGCGGCUCAACCGCAGCACUGCAGUUGAUACUGGUUUCCUUGAGUGCGGUUGAGGUGUAUGGAAUUCGUGGUGUAGCGGUGAAAUGCUUAGAUAUCACGAAGAACUCCGAUUG